AGUGAACGCUGGCGGUAGGCCUAACACAUGCAAGUCGAACGGCAGCACAGGAGAGCUUGCUCUCUGGGUGGCGAGUGGCGGACGGGUGAGGAAUACAUCGGAAUCUACUCUGUCGUGGGGGAUAACGUAGGGAAACUUACGCUAAUACCGCAUACGACCUACGGGUGAAAGCAGGGGAUCUUCGGACCUUGCGCGAUUGAAUGAGCCGAUGUCGGAUUAGCUAGUUGGCGGGGUAAAGGCCCACCAAGGCGACGAGCCGUAGCUGGUCUGAGAGGAUGAGCAGCCACACUGGAACUGAGACACGGUCCAGACUCCUACGGGAGGCAGCAGUGGGGAAUAUUGGGCAAUGGGCGCAAGCCUGAUCCAGCCAUACCGCGUGGGUGAAGAAGGCCUUCGGGUUGUAAAGCCCUUUUGUUGGGAAAGAAAUCCAGCUGGCUAAUACCCGGUUGGGAUGACGGUACCCAAAGAAUAAGCACCGGCUAACUUCGUGCCAGCCGCCGCCGUAA
RNAcentral lists this ribosomal RNA (506 nucleotides) under uncultured bacterium. Its description in RNAcentral is "partial 16S ribosomal RNA". It matches the Rfam family "Bacterial small subunit ribosomal RNA", at positions 29 to 523 of the family's 1533-position model. The record is from RNAcentral.